RNAcentral lists this long non-coding RNA (294 nucleotides) under Eucalyptus grandis. RNAcentral's name for it is "long non-coding RNA (EGRA_LNC006882)". Lineage: Eukaryota; Viridiplantae; Streptophyta; Magnoliopsida; Myrtales; Myrtaceae. The record is from RNAcentral.
AAAAAUCAUUUUCCUCAAGUUCGCCUUCGAGUUCUCCUUCUCAGACUCCUCCUCCUCAGCUCCUCAACGGAGUCCUGAAAUGUUUUCCCCAAACUGGGAUGAGACUACGUCUCAGCGAGUUCUACCCCACUAAGCUCGAUUAGUAAACCAUUAUACUACAGGCUGCCUAAACACGUAUAGAGCAGAAGACUUACCUUGGCCUCAGAUUCCACCUGCAAGUCAGUACAAUUCACAUACCUUAUGUAUAGAAUCGAUACAUCCAGCAAUUGAAACGCAUCACUCAACUCAAUAAAU